RNAcentral lists this ribosomal RNA (191 nucleotides) under uncultured bacterium. Its description in RNAcentral is "partial 16S ribosomal RNA". It matches the Rfam family "Bacterial small subunit ribosomal RNA", at positions 1309 to 1500 of the family's 1533-position model. The record is from RNAcentral.
AACCCGCCUGCAUGAAGUCGGAAUUGCUAGUAAUCGCGGAUCAGCAUGCCGCGGUGAAUACGUUCCCGGGCCUUGUACACACCACCCGUCACACCAUGGGAGCCGGUAAUACCCGAAGUCAGUAGUCCAACCUCGUGAGGACGCUGCCGAAGGUAGGAUUGGCGACUGGGGUGAAGUCGUAACAAGGUACC